CACGUAGGCCGCUUUGUAAGUCAGGGGUGAAAUCCCACGGCUCAACCGUGGAACUGCCCUUGAAACUGCGAAGCUUGAAUCCUGGAGAGGGUGGCGGAAUUCUUGGUGUAGGAGUGAAAUCCGUAGAUAUCAGGAGGAACACCGGUGGCGAAGGCGGCCACCUGGACAGGUAUUGACGCUGAGGUGCGAAAGUGUGGGGAGCAAACA
Molecule: ribosomal RNA, 207 nt
Filed under: uncultured Desulfomicrobium sp.
Lineage: Bacteria; Pseudomonadati; Thermodesulfobacteriota; Desulfovibrionia; Desulfovibrionales; Desulfomicrobiaceae
Description: partial 16S ribosomal RNA
Rfam family: Bacterial small subunit ribosomal RNA
Source: RNAcentral